This 377-nucleotide long non-coding RNA is filed under the name Ananas comosus (pineapple). RNAcentral's name for it is "long non-coding RNA (ACOM_LNC034460)". Lineage: Eukaryota; Viridiplantae; Streptophyta; Magnoliopsida; Poales; Bromeliaceae. The record is from RNAcentral.
ACGAAUGAGCCUUUUGAUCUUGAAACACACAAUCUUCUCUUCACUCUUCAUCUUUAACUCUUCAAGACUCCAUUCGACUUCACAAAAUCCGCAGACUUAGAAAAGUCCUUAACAAUCUCCUCCUUUGGCGAUUUCGUGACAAAACCUAAUCCAAUGCUCAUACAAUCUUAAAAAUAGAAAAAUAGAAGAUUAUCGCAAUCGCCAAACGACAAUCCCCUACAUGAUCGAUCCAACAAAAAAAAAUUACAAAUUACUCAACCUAAAACAAACUCUAUGACUUAGACAUGAUGGAGUCUUGAAGUCUUGAAAUGUCCUGCAAAAAUAUUCUCCAAAAUACACAAUCAAAACUGAAGAAUUUUCAAUAAAGAACCUAUAAU